AACAUCUAAGUACCCCGAGGAAAAGAAAUCAACCGAGAUUCCGAAAGUAGCGGCGAGCGAAAUUGGACUAGCCCUUAAGCUUUACACGCGUUAGACGAACGGUCUGGAAAGUCCGACGAUACAGGGUGAUAGUCCCGUAGUUGACGACGUGUGUUCAGUGAAAUCGAGUAGGGCGGGACACGUGAUAUCCUGUCUGAAUAUGGGGGGACCAUCCUCCAAGGCUAAAUACUACUGACUGACCGAUAGUGAACCAGUACCGUGAGGGAAAGGCGAAAAGAACCCCUGUGAGGGGAGUGAAAUAGAACCUGAAACCGUGUACGUACAAGCAGUAGGAGCAGGCUUUGUCCUGUGACUGCGUACCUUUUGUAUAAUGGGUCAGCGACUUAUAUUCAGUGGCAAGGUUAACCAUCUAGGGGAGCCGUAGGGAAACCGAGUCUUAACUGGGCGUUCAGUCUCUGGAUAUAGACCCGAAACCAGGUGAUCUAGCCAUGGGCAGGUUGAAGGUUGAGUAACAUCAACUGGAGGACCGAACCGACUAAUGUUGAAAAAUUAGCGGAUGACUUGUGGCUAGGGGUGAAAGGCCAAUCAAACCUGGAGAUAGCUGGUUCUCCCCGAAAGCUAUUUAGGUAGCGCCUCGGACGAAUACUACUGGGGGUAGAGCACUGUUAAGGCUAGGGGGUCAUCCCGACUUACCAACCCUUUGCAAACUCCGAAUACCAGUAAGUACUAUCCGGGAGACACACGGCGGGUGCUAACGUCCGUCGUGGAGAGGGAAACAACCCAGACCGCCAGCUAAGGUCCCAAAUUACUACUAAGUGGGAAACGAUGUGGGAAGGCUCAGACAGCCAGGAUGUUGGCUUAGAAGCAGCCAUCAUUUAAAGAAAGCGUAAUAGCUCACUGGUCGAGUCGGCCUGCGCGGAAGAUGUAACGGGGCUAAGUAGUAAACCGAAGCUGCGGCAAUGUGCUUUUGCACAUUGGGUAGGGGAGCGUUCUGUAAGCGGUUGAAGGUGUGUGGUAACGCAUGCUGGACGUAUCAGAAGUGCGAAUGCUGACAUGAGUAACGAUAAAGGGGGUGAAAAACCUCCUCGCCGGAAGACCAAGGGUUCCUGUCCAACGUUAAUCGGGGCAGGGUAAGUCGACCCCUAAGGCGAGGCCGAAAGGCGUAGUCGAUGGGAAACGGGUUAAUAUUCCCGUACUUCUUACAAUUGCGAUGGGGGGACGGAGAAGGCUAGGUGGGCCUGGCGACGGUUGUCCAGGUUCAAGUGCGUAGGCUUAAGAGUUAGGUAAAUCCGGCUCUUUUUAAGGCUGAGACACGACGUCGAGCACCUACGGGUGUGAAGUCAUUGAUGCCAUGCUUCCAGGAAAAGCCUCUAAGCUUCAGAUUGUAAGGAAUCGUACCCCAAACCGACACAGGUGGUCGGGUAGAGAAUACCAAGGCGCUUGAGAGAACUCGGGUGAAGGAACUAGGCAAAAUGGUACCGUAACUUCGGGAGAAGGUACGCUCUCGACGGUGAAGUCCCUCGCGGAUGGAGCUAUUGAGAGUCGCAGAUACCAGGUGGCUGCAACUGUUUAUUAAAAACACAGCACUGUGCAAAAUCGUAAGAUGACGUAUACGGUGUGACGCCUGCCCGGUGCCGGAAGGUUAAUUGAUGGGGUUAGACUUCGGUCGAAGCUCUUGAUCGAAGCCCCGGUAAACGGCGGCCGUAACUAUAACGGUCCUAAGGUAGCGAAAUUCCUUGUCGGGUAAGUUCCGACCUGCACGAAUGGCGUAAUGAUGGCCACGCUGUCUCCACCCGAGACUCAGUGAAAUUGAAAUCGCUGUGAAGAUGCAGUGUACCCGCGGCUAGACGGAAAGACCCCGUGAACCUUUACUACAGCUUGGCACUGAACAUUGACCCUACAUGUGUAGGAUAGGUGGGAGGCUUUGAAGCACGUACGCCAGUAUGUGUGGAGCCGUCCUUGAAAUACCACCCUUGUAGUGUUGAUGUUCUAACGUCGACCCCUAAUCGGGGUUGCGGACAGUGCCUGGUGGGUAGUUUGACUGGGGCGGUCUCCUCCCAAAGAGUAACGGAGGAGCACGAAGGUGGGCUAAUCACGGUUGGACAUCGUGAGGUUAGUGCAAUGGCAUAAGCCCGCUUGACUGCGAGAAUGACAAUUCGAGCAGGUGCGAAAGCAGGUCAUAGUGAUCCGGUGGUUCUGAAUGGAAGGGCCAUCGCUCAACGGAUAAAAGGUACUCCGGGGAUAACAGGCUGAUACCGCCCAAGAGUUCAUAUCGACGGCGGUGUUUGGCACCUCGAUGUCGGCUCAUCACAUCCUGGGGCUGAAGUCGGUCCCAAGGGUAUGGCUGUUCGCCAUUUAAAGUGGUACGCGAGCUGGGUUUAGAACGUCGUGAGACAGUUCGGUCCCUAUCUGCCGUGGGCGUUGGAAGAUUGAAGGGGGCUGCUCCUAGUACGAGAGGACCGGAGUGGACGAACCUCUGGUGUUCGGGUUGUGUCGCCAGACGCAUUGCCCGGUAGCUAAGUUCGGAAUCGAUAACCGCUGAAAGCAUCUAAGCGGGAAGCGAGCCCUGAGAUGAGUCUUCCCUGAUACUUUAAGUAUCCUAAAGGGUUGUCGGAGACUACGACGUUGAUAGGUCAGGUGUGUAAGUGCUGUGAGGCAUUGAGCUAACUGAUACUAAUUGCCCGUGAGGCUUAACCAU
This 2698-nucleotide ribosomal RNA is filed under the name Vibrio parahaemolyticus. Its description in RNAcentral is "partial 23S ribosomal RNA". It matches the Rfam family "Bacterial large subunit ribosomal RNA". Lineage: Bacteria; Pseudomonadati; Pseudomonadota; Gammaproteobacteria; Vibrionales; Vibrionaceae. The record is from RNAcentral.